UUAGGGACCAAUUAGUACUACUUUUUAUAUCAUUUUAUUGGUCCCUUUUACCAAGUUUUGAUGUAAUUACACACUUUUUAUUCUUAUUAAUUCGUAUAAAUUCAAUUACGUUUAAUUUAUUUUGUUUUGAAUAGUUAUUUCACCUUUUUGUUAGUUUUGUAGAAUUUUGGGAUAAGAAAGGCCUUGGAUUGCAACACCACAUCUUGGAGGAAGCUUGCCAAACAAGGAAGCUGGAGAAGCAACAGCUCGCGCCGCGAACUGCCUUCGCGCCGCGAAGGCUGCG
This 283-nucleotide long non-coding RNA is filed under the name Lathyrus oleraceus (garden pea). RNAcentral's name for it is "Pisum sativum (pea) long non-coding RNA (PSAT_LNC007985)". The record is from RNAcentral. Lineage: Eukaryota; Viridiplantae; Streptophyta; Magnoliopsida; Fabales; Fabaceae.